Molecule: long non-coding RNA, 1602 nt
Filed under: Ornithorhynchus anatinus (platypus)
Lineage: Eukaryota; Metazoa; Chordata; Mammalia; Monotremata; Ornithorhynchidae
Description: lncRNA (ENSOANG00000049455.1)
Source: RNAcentral
CGAAGAUCCCGAGCUCAUGUGGCGGUGGAUCCAGCCAGGGAAAAGGGGACGGACAGUCCAAGGCGCAGCUCCAGAGGAGAGGCCGUCCCGGGGUAGAUGAGUCGGCGAUCGGCAGCCAAAGAGCUAGCCGGGAAUAAGGGACGGGCGGUCCAAGGCGCAGCUCCAAGGGAGCGGAGAUUCUGAGCCCACGUGGCGAUGGAUCAAGCCGGGAAUAAGGGGCUCCAUUGCCCUCUCUCUCUGCUUUGGUCAAUAGCCCAAAUACUAAUCUAGUGUCUUCUUUCUCCUUAGGACGCCAGAGGAGCACUGUGCAGGUAUGUAUGUGUUCUGUGCUCCUCGUUGACGAUCCGAGUAAUGAAGGGCCAAGGAGUCCACGUGCAACGGGGGGGUUCUUGGGAUUUUUUGGAAGGGCACAAAGGAAUUCUUCUGUGUGACAUGCUGAGGCCUGAGAUUGAAGAGAAUUAGGCCCGACUCUUUGCUAACUCCAGGAAUGUGUCAGUGCUGGAGCAAUGGCCAAAGGCCACCAUGUCCUUGGAGGUGACCGCCUACUGGAUCCCUGAGAUGAGAGAAAUACUUGGCAGAUAUGCAGGUUUCUGCUUGGAAAAGGCCAUUCUCUCCCACCCGGCGCAGGUCAAGUACAAGCCUAGAGAGUCCAGCGGAUGGUGGCUGCAGGAUGGCUAUGAAUGCUGAUCAGUUCAUAAGCGCUCGCAGCCAUUCCCAGGAAAUUUCGGACUUGGAGUCCAUCCUCUUGGACCUGGAGGAAUUGCAAAGGAGCGAGGAGGAAGAGGAAGCGAUGUUUCAAACAUUUCCAGAACCGUCCUCCUUGGUAAGCUGGUUUUCCUGCUUCGAGACGAGCGGCAGCAAGAGGAAGACAACCGAGGCUGGCUUGCAUAGACACGCAAAGUGAAGGCGGCAAGGCGGAGACGAGGAUGAAUCAGUAGUUUCCCCAUACCCGGAACCGCUCGGGAAGUCUCAGGACCUGCUGGAGUAUGUCAACCGGUUUGCACAGUCCCUUUCUGAAGAAGACAGUUCAAGCACAGGUAAGUGCUUCGGCAGUUUCAGAGGAGCCAGCGUGUGUCUCAUACCAAACUCUCCUAUGCAUACUGCCACGGGGGCCAUGUGGGCAAUGCCUUUGAUUUCCCAAGUAUGUUGCAAGGAAAAGGGGCCCCGGGUAUUUCUGAGAUACCCCCUCUCCAUCUCUUACAGAGUUCCUUGUUUACCUGCUGCUACCUGCUACCCUGACUGUCCCCUCUGUCCCCUCACUUUCCUUCACAGUGUUCACAGUGUCCUUUGAGAUUGCGGAUUCGAAACAGCCUUGCCGGUAUAUGCCAUCUGAUUCACAUUUGGUUCAAUUUCACAGGGUCUUCCACCUCACUUGACCCGGCUUCUCCCGUCUCCAAUCUGCAACAGAGACCACCGUCUACAAGAGAGGCACUAGAGGAGGUGGAGCGAAUCAUUCAAGAGCUCAGAGCUAAAGAUGAAUCUUUACAGGCCGUCCCUUCCGAUGUAUUGGAAUAUGUCUUUGGAAACCCUGACACAACAAACGAAUCGGGUCAGCCUCCAUCAGGUAAGGAUAAUUCCGAAGGAAUAUGCCGCCUCCACAGG